Molecule: long non-coding RNA, 1800 nt
Filed under: Felis catus (domestic cat)
Lineage: Eukaryota; Metazoa; Chordata; Mammalia; Carnivora; Felidae
Description: lncRNA (ENSFCAG00000048247.1)
Source: RNAcentral
CCUGGUUCCCAUGGGCUCUGAGAAGGUGUCCAUCCUAUCCUCAUAACACUUUAUUGGAUCUGUUUGUUGAGACACCUGCUUUUCCCAGUGGAUGCUAAGGUCCUGGAGGAGGUCCUUACUGGUCCCAGGGUACUGUUUUCUGGACCAGAAACUGACCACCAACGGCAUGUUCCUUGCUGCCCUAACACCUGGCCAUGGUGGAUGGUCAGCAAAUGUAUUUUGGGGUCUUAGUUUCCCCAUCUAUACAGUCAACAAAUGAGGUCACCACGGCUCUGUUACCGUGUGCUUUUAUGAUGGUAAUAGGUGUCAAGUCAGGUGUAAGUCUAGGGGACCCUCCCAGGUGGGAGGGAGAGUGCAAGAGAGUGUGUGGUUUGUGUUCAGACAGGAGACAGCCUCAGCUCCUAGCAGUGCGGAAGACUCGUUUCUCUCAUGAUCCUAGGGGAUAAAGGUGGAGGACCAUCCCACCUGUCUGAGCGACCGUGGGGGUCUGGUGUCCUGGGGGCCAGCCCAGUGAUGUCACCAGCUGAUGUCACCACUGUAGAGGAACAGAGGCACACUACAGUUUCCCCACCUUCCUGCACCUGGCCAAAUGCCCAGGUAUGUGCUCCACCCCACCCCCCACUGCUGCUGGAGGGCGGUGGCUGUUUGGCAGCCCUGAGGUGGCUGACGUUGCCCAGGUCGGGGCUGCAGGUGGAAGGUCUGAGCCAGAUGUCAGAAAGGGCACACACUUGCUGCUGGGGGCCACUGGGAGGCCAGGGAUGGAGCCCGCCCCCUCCUCUUCCUCCUCCUCCUCCCACCCUGUGGAUGGCUCCAAGGAGCCGGGCAGGCCGCAUGCCAUCCACACACAUCUGUCCCAAUGCAGUCUCCCUGGCCUCUGGCUCCUGCUUAACUCAGACAUCAGGAGGCACCAGCAGGAAGCAGAGAGUGACCGGGGAGCAUUUCUUCUCCCUAUUUUUCCACCUCCAGUUUCCCAUGGUUGGUGGGACUGUCUACUAAACCCCUGGCUUCUGUCAAGCCCCAUCUCCGGGUGACAGCUACCCCGCCUUUGUCCCUUCACACCUCAAGAGGUCACUGGUCAUUCCUCUUUUGGUCUCCUUAGCCCCUUCCCCACCUUUAUAAAUAGACAAUCAGACGCUCCCCCAUUGGACUGUGCUGUCUUGACUGGUGCCACUGGCUGGAUGCUGCUUGUUCGCACGUGGCUCUUACUGGAUUCAUUCCAUUUCCCGAAGUGUUGACUGAGUGCCUACUGGGUACACUAGGCCUGUGUAGGUGCUUACCAUCGGCCGAACCAAAAUUAGGGGAGAGAUAUGUAGAGAAUUGGGAGCCUGAGGCCCCAGUACCCUCAGCGGGCUCCCCAACAUCUCAAUGCGUGUCCCAGAAGGGGAAAAAUGGUAACUGUUGACAAUCUUGUGACAUGGCCUCUAAACGAGCUGUAUCAACUGAGAACAUACGUAAGUCACAGUCCACAUUACAUUUCAUAACAGUCCAGUGCUAUCAUUUUUCAUUAGAAGUUCUUUUUUUUUAUUCUUUAACAUUUAUUUAUAUUUCAGAGACAGAGAAAGACAGAGGACAAGUCGGGGAGGGGCAGGGAGAGAGGAAGACACAGAAUCCAAAGCAGGCUCCAGGCUCUGAGCUGUCAUGACAGAGCCCAAUGUGGGGCUUCAACUCACAGACUGCAAAAUCAUGACCUGAGCCGAAGUCAGAUGCUUAACUGACUGAGCCACCCAGCCACCCCUCGUUUUUUAUUUUUUAUCAAGACAGUCAAAUAAAACCAUCCCUGAAGAGGUUAGAUUGUCCUCC